This 232-nucleotide long non-coding RNA is filed under the name Lathyrus oleraceus (garden pea). Its description in RNAcentral is "Pisum sativum (pea) long non-coding RNA (PSAT_LNC009785)". Lineage: Eukaryota; Viridiplantae; Streptophyta; Magnoliopsida; Fabales; Fabaceae. The record is from RNAcentral.
GAUGUCUUGCCGAGUUUGACUGACAACUAACAACUAAUCCUUGUUUGCUUUCGCCCUCGUUGCGAUUCUUUUCUCUCGCCCUUCAGAUGAGAUACGUAGGCACAAGAUGCGAUGUCUUGCCGAGUUUGACUGACAACUAACAACUAAUCCUUGUUUGCUUUCGCCCUCGUUGCGAUUCUUUUCUCUCGCCCUCGUUGCGAUCGAGACCUUUCCUUUUUCUUGCCCUAGUUGC